Molecule: ribosomal RNA, 469 nt
Filed under: uncultured bacterium
Lineage: Bacteria
Description: partial 16S ribosomal RNA
Rfam family: Bacterial small subunit ribosomal RNA
Source: RNAcentral
GACGAACGCUGGCGGCGUGCUUAACACAUGCAAGUCGAACGGAAAGGCCCUGCUUUUGUGGGGUGCUCGAGUGGCGAACGGGUGAGUAACACGUGAGUAACCUGCCCUUGACUUUGGGAUAACUUCAGGAAACUGGGGCUAAUACCGGAUAGGAGCUCCUGCUGCAUGGUGGGGGUUGGAAAGUUUCGGCGGUUGGGGAUGGACUCGCGGCUUAUCAGCUUGUUGGUGGGGUAGUGGCUUACCAAGGCUUUGACGGGUAGCCGGCCUGAGAGGGUGACCGGCCACAUUGGGACUGAGAUACGGCCCAGACUCCUACGGGAGGCAGCAGUGGGGAAUAUUGCACAAUGGGCGCAAGCCUGAUGCAGCGACGCCGCGUGGGGGAUGACGGCCUUCGGGUUGUAAACUCCUUUCGCUAGGGACGAAGCUUUUUGUGACGGUACCUAGAUAAGAAGCACCGGCUAACUACGUG